This 68-nucleotide transfer RNA is filed under the name Styracaster yapensis. RNAcentral describes it as "tRNA-Glu". Lineage: Eukaryota; Metazoa; Echinodermata; Asteroidea; Paxillosida; Porcellanasteridae. The record is from RNAcentral.
AUUUCCAUAGUUGAAAACAACAGUAUUUUUUCAAGAUACAAGUUUGAGUGAAACCCUCAAUAGAAAUA